Gigantopelta aegis is the source of this 2471-nucleotide long non-coding RNA. RefSeq lists it as uncharacterized. The record is from RefSeq and is a predicted model, not a curated record. The transcript has 2 exons. NCBI's taxonomy places the organism in Eukaryota, Metazoa, Mollusca, Gastropoda, Neomphalida, Peltospiridae.
ACACAUAAGGCUCUUGUUUGAGUUGACCCUACCUUUAAGUGCAUAGGGUAGCUAUGUUCCUAAGAUCAACUUAAGUGCAUAGGGUAGCUAUGUGCUUACGGUAAUCUUAGGGAUAAGAUCGCUCCAUGGAACUGGGCCAUGGAAAGAAUUGUUUAUGUUUCCUUUUCAAAUUAGGACAUUUGGCAAUUUAAUAAUAAAAUACUGUCAUUCAAGAAAGAUUUGCAAAAAACCCAAUGUAUAACUGUGAAUGACUAAUGAAUGCAAUACUCUAUUCACGCAAUAAUAUGGUGACUUUGCUGCAAGUGAAAAAACAAUAAAUAAAUACAUUAAGUUUUCACUGUGUGAUAAUUGGUCAACUGUACUGUUGAGGAAGCAAACCCCACAAAAGCCAGCUACGCAUAGCUAUUCAAUUGUCUUUCGACAGUUGUCUAAUAUAGGAUACAAUCCACUCACCUUGAAUGGGUUUGAUUACACAGAUGUUUGAAAUGUCAACAUUCGGUACAUUACAAGUAGCUGAUAAGUGAAUCCCUGUUAAUUGAAAGAAAACAUGUCAGGCACAGCUUGUAAGCAUUGAGUUCAAUACUUGAACCCACUCCCACCCACAAAAAAUGCAUUUGCUGUAAGAUAAUUAUUUUUGCUAUCUUUGAGUAACCUCUAAUAUCGUGGUAUAUUUUAUGUAUGCAACAGCUGACAUUGCAAUACUUUCUAUCUGCUGCUUGAGCAGCUGUUGACAUUUCUCAAUACUUCCAUGAUGCAAUAUGUAAAAUUAAUCAGGGCUACCUCUGGGUGUGCAAAACAUUUCGCCAAAUUAUGUCCAUAAAUGUAAAAUUCUGUUAUUUUUCAGCAAAUAUUAAUUAUUGUAUGAAUUUUUUUCGCCAAAUUAAAAUAAAAUUCGCAAUUGGCGAAUUUGGCGAGUGGCAAAGCUAGCCCUGUUAAUGGUUCUGAAGUCAGUAUGCUGAUCAAAUUAAACUUUAAUUUGACUGUUUGCCGAACAGUAGCUUGAACCCUGCCCAAAAUCUGGUUCAUCAGCCAGCUAAUAGAUUGAUGUUGAACUGUACACAGGAUCAGAGGUUUUCCUCGUAAAACAUUGUUUCUCCUCGCAUUUUAAUCGUCCUUGCCGCCGGACCCCUCUAGAUUUUCUCUUGUUUACAGUUCACCACCCCGGACCCCUCUAGAUUUCCUUUUUUUUUACAGUUCACCAAAUCCCACCUCUGUGUACAGCUAGAGAAAUAUUUGUUUAUUUGUUUGCGACAGUCAGACAGUCACCGGAAGAUUGUUUUGUCACGGGUCUGUAGUGAUUAGGAUAUAGUGGAGACAUGAAUAUGAACUAAUUUUGAGGAUAAAAAUGCCGGAUAAUGCAAAUACAUAUUCUUGUGUUCAUAAUAGGGAUAAGUGUGUUAUUAAAAUAGCAUUCAGUAUUUACAUUAUUGUGUGGUGUGCUUUCCAUUUGAAAAGUAUGUUUUGUUUUUUAUUUCUUGUCAUUACUACAUGUGUGUUUGUGGUGUGUGCAUGUGUGUGUGCAGUGUGUGCAUGUGCAUGCAGUGUGUGCUUCUGCACACGUGUGUGUAUGUGCUUGCGUGCACAUGUGUGUGUGCUUGUAUGCACGUGUGUGUGUUUGCUUGCGCAUGCACGUGUUUUGUAUGCAUGUAAUUUUCACUUCAUCUCACGCUAGUGGUCCAUUUAAAUCUUCCCUUAAUCUCGUAUUAUUUGUUCUCUACAUUAACUGUAGGUUUCGUACACCCAUUUCCCAUCUAAAAUUCCAUGACUUCUCAUGACCAUAUAUCUAAAGUUCUAUAACCAUGUUGAAUAUGGGUUUGUUUGGCACAUACAGCAUUUUGCUUCAUGUUUAGUUUGUCCAUCGCGACCAACCCACAUACUAAAAACUUAAUAUUGUAACAAUGUACAUUUUCCAGCAUUGUGGAUAUUAUAUAUUCGCUUCUUAAUUCAGUUGGUCUUUCUUUAAAAUCACAAACAUUAGCCGCCACAGUAAAUCUAUUUGCAAACACACAAUAGCCAUUUUUAACCACAGCUUGUCCUUUGAAAUCUUAUCUUCUCCUACAGUUUUUGAUUGAAUUGUUUUCAAACUUGGUACAGUAAUCCUCUGGGGUACCGUUCAUAAACUAAUAGACAUUUUAAAAUUUUAGAAUUUUAAAAUAUUUAUUAAAUGUUUUUAAAAUUUAAAUUGAAAAUUUUAAUGUCUAUCUUCUCCUUGAGUUUUGAUUGGAUAUUAAAUGGUUAUAGCAGUCAUUAAAAAGCUGUAUCCUGUUAAAUGUGUGAACACCACCUGUUUCCAAAUUAUUCAUCUGCUCGUUGAUCGGGAUAGAUAACCCAUAUAUUUGUCACCAAGUAGCAAGAAAUCAAUAGAAUGCUUUGUGAAUGCCUGUUAUUAUCACGUCUAUUUAUACAUAUAUUUUGUGUUUAUGGAAUUGAUUUUUGAAUACUAAAUUAAUAAAUUCAAUUGGAAAGCAAAA